AAUAUUACAGGGAUGUAAAAUAAUCUCACUGUAGAAUCCUCCUUAUUCAUUAUCCCACCUCUCUUCAUCAGUACAUUUUAGACUGAAGAUAAUCAGGAAGAAAAAGUCCACAUGAUCAAAGCUGAACAGGAACUCCACCCUACAGUAAACCCAGUCUGGACAGAAACCACAUGAACUAAACACAAAGCAGCUGAACUAAGAACUGGAUAAUAU
Tachysurus fulvidraco (yellow catfish) is the source of this 213-nucleotide long non-coding RNA. RefSeq lists it as uncharacterized. The transcript is spliced from 3 exons. Lineage: Eukaryota; Metazoa; Chordata; Actinopteri; Siluriformes; Bagridae. The record is from RefSeq and is a predicted model, not a curated record.